UAGGGAAUCUUCGGCAAUGGGGGCAACCCUGACCGAGCAACGCCGCGUGAGUGAAGAAGGUUUUCGGAUCGUAAAGCUCUGUUGUAAGUCAAGAACGAGUGUGAGAGUGGAAAGUUCACACUGUGACGGUAGCUUACCAGAAAGGGGCGGCUAACUACGUGCCAGCAGCCGCGGUAAUACGUAGGUCCCGAGCGUUGUCCGGAUUUAUUGGGCGUAAAGCGAGCGCAGGCGGUUUGAUAAGUCUGAAGUUAAAGGCUGUGGCUCAACCAUAGUUCGCUUUGGAAACUGUCAAACUUGAGUGCAGAAGGGGAGAGUGGAAUUCCAUGUGUAGCGGUGAAAUGCGUAGAUAUAUGGAGGAACACCGGUGGCGAAAGCGGCUCUCUGGUCUGUAACUGACGCUGAGGCUCGAAAGCGUGGGGAGCGAACAGGAUUAGAUACCCUGGUAGUCCACGCCGUAAACGAUGAGUGCUAGGUGUUGGGUCCUUUCCGGGAUUCAGUGCCGCAGCUAACGCAUUAAGCACUCCGCCUGGGGAGUACGGCCGCAAGGUUG
RNAcentral lists this ribosomal RNA (550 nucleotides) under uncultured bacterium. Its description in RNAcentral is "bacterial SSU rRNA". It matches the Rfam family "Bacterial small subunit ribosomal RNA", at positions 355 to 896 of the family's 1533-position model. The record is from RNAcentral.